CAGGCACAGGCACAGGAGAUGCAGCCAGCACCACAGCACCUCUUCCAGAUUCCCAGAAGGGCAUCGGAAGGGGUUUCUGUCAUGGAACAGGCUACUCGCUAGAGUUAAUGGCAGGCAUGCUUCUUUUGAAGCUUGUCUUCAUGUUGUGCUGCUUUAGAAUCUGGUAUUCCUGGAAGAGAAAAUGUCGCAGCUCUGGACAGGAGAUGAAAGCAGUGGCUUCCCCUCACACCCAGACUGCUUGUGGAGCACCUCCAGCAGUAAUAAGGGCCUGGUCAGCCCUUUCUGGAGUUCUGAGAAGAGGACAGCAGUAGAUCUGUCUACGAGGAAAUCUCCAAAGACCCUGUAGAUCCCACUGCCACUUCCUCUCCCCAUGGGUAUCCCCAAGCUGCCUUCACCCGUUUUUGAUCUCCCUCUGUCCCGUCCCAGCCCAUUCCCCAGUUCUUCUAAAGACCCCGGUACCAGCCCAGCACCCUCCA
Long non-coding RNA from Vidua macroura (Pin-tailed whydah), 476 nucleotides. RefSeq lists it as uncharacterized. The transcript is spliced from 3 exons. NCBI's taxonomy places the organism in Eukaryota, Metazoa, Chordata, Aves, Passeriformes, Viduidae. The record is from RefSeq and is a predicted model, not a curated record.